This is a long non-coding RNA of Rhipicephalus microplus (southern cattle tick), 151 nucleotides long. NCBI's taxonomy places the organism in Eukaryota, Metazoa, Arthropoda, Arachnida, Ixodida, Ixodidae. The record is from RefSeq and is a predicted model, not a curated record.
UAACGCCCUUCUGAGCAGACUCCAGAGAUGCGCUGCUGAUUACGAAGAUGCGCUAUACUCAAGCAAAGACGUGUGGCUCCGUAUCGUGGAGCACUCGCCAGCCUAUGCAUGCACCUCGUACGAACUGAGUGUAAAAGAAUUCCGGAGAAGC